UACAGAGGGUGCAAGCGUUAAUCGGAAUUACUGGGCGUAAAGCGUGCGUAGGCGGUUCAGCAAGUCGGGUGUGAAAUCCCUGGGCUUAACCCAGGAACUGCAUUCGAUACUACUGAGCUGGAGUAUGGUAGAGGGUAGUGGAAUUCCAGGUGUAGCGGUGAAAUGCGUAGAUAUCUGGAGGAACAUCAGUGGCGAAGGCGGCUUCCUGGCCCAAAACUGACGCUGAGGUGCGAAAGCGUGGGGAGCAAACAGG
This 253-nucleotide ribosomal RNA is filed under the name uncultured bacterium. RNAcentral describes it as "partial 16S ribosomal RNA". It matches the Rfam family "Bacterial small subunit ribosomal RNA", at positions 524 to 776 of the family's 1533-position model. The record is from RNAcentral.